RNAcentral lists this ribosomal RNA (492 nucleotides) under uncultured bacterium. RNAcentral describes it as "partial 16S ribosomal RNA". It matches the Rfam family "Bacterial small subunit ribosomal RNA", at positions 29 to 507 of the family's 1533-position model. The record is from RNAcentral.
AGUGAACGCUGGCGGUAGGCCUAACACAUGCAAGUCGAACGGCAGCACAGUAAGAGCUUGCUCUUACGGGUGGCGAGUGGCGGACGGGUGAGGAAUACAUCGGAAUCUACUUUUUCGUGGGGGAUAACGUAGGGAAACUUACGCUAAUACCGCAUACGACCUACGGGUGAAAGCAGGGGAUCUUCGGACCUUGCGCGAUUGAAUGAGCCGAUGUCGGAUUAGCUAGUUGGCUGGGUAAAGGCCCACCAAGGCGACGAUCCGUAGCUGGUCUGAGAGGAUGAUCGGCCACACUGGAACUGGGACACGGUCCAGACUCCUACGGGAGGCAGCAGUGGGGAAUAUUGGGCAAUGGGCGCAAGCCUGAUCCAGCCAUACCGCGUGGGUGAAGAAGGCCUUCGGGUUGUAAAGCCCUUUUGUUGGGAAAGAAAAGCAGCAGGUUAAUACCCCGCUGUUCUGACGGUACCCAAAGAAUAAGCACCGGCUAACUACGUG